This 253-nucleotide ribosomal RNA is filed under the name uncultured bacterium. Its description in RNAcentral is "partial 16S ribosomal RNA". It matches the Rfam family "Bacterial small subunit ribosomal RNA", at positions 524 to 776 of the family's 1533-position model. The record is from RNAcentral.
UACAGAGGGGGCAAGCGUUAUUCGGAAUUAUUGGGCGUAAAGGGCGCGUAGGCGGCAUGGCAAGUGGAUGGUGAAAUCCCUCGGCUUAACCGAGGAACUGCCGUCCAAACUGCUUCGCUUGAGACCGGGGGAGGUGAGUGGAAUUCCCAGUGUAGCGGUGAAAUGCGUAGAUAUUGGGAGGAACACCAGUGGCGAAGGCGGCUCACUGGACCGGUACUGACGCUGAAGCGCGAAAGCGUGGGGAGCAAACGGG